GAAGAAGAUGGCGAUGAAUGUAACUAAACAUAUUAUCCAAAAAAAUUACGUACAUGUUGAGAAAAGUAGAAGACCGAUAAAUAUCAAAGCUGCUUU
Arabidopsis thaliana (thale cress) is the source of this 96-nucleotide small nucleolar RNA. It matches the Rfam family "Small nucleolar RNA R20". Rfam says of the family: snoR20 is a member of the C/D class of snoRNA which contain the C (UGAUGA) and D (CUGA) box motifs. Most of the members of the box C/D family function in directing site-specific 2'-O-methylation of substrate RNAs. Lineage: Eukaryota; Viridiplantae; Streptophyta; Magnoliopsida; Brassicales; Brassicaceae. The record is from Rfam.